GGGAAGCCGGUGCGAAUCCGGCGCUGACCCGCAACCGUGAGCGAGUCCCGUACGGAGUGAACUGCCGCCCCGUACGCGGCCCGUGAGCCGGAGCACC
RNAcentral lists this non-coding RNA (97 nucleotides) under Streptomyces nanshensis. The record is from RNAcentral. Lineage: Bacteria; Bacillati; Actinomycetota; Actinomycetes; Kitasatosporales; Streptomycetaceae.